Molecule: long non-coding RNA, 1052 nt
Organism: Nycticebus coucang (slow loris)
Lineage: Eukaryota; Metazoa; Chordata; Mammalia; Primates; Lorisidae
Exons: 3
Source: RefSeq, a predicted model, not a curated record
CAUCAUCAAAUUGGGUCAGACCUUUGGAAUGCUAAAGAAAUCCAUUUCUUAAAAAUGAAUGAUGGGCAGGCCAUUGGAUACACUAAUUAGAAUUUCUGUCCUUUAUAAGUGGAGAUAUCUCUCUGUCUUGUGGGAUGUCUACUAGCUUAUUUAUAGAACUAGUCUUCCCUUCCUGUGUUGAUUGGAGCCUUGGCAGAUACACCUCCACUGAUCUGGGCAAUGCAGCACGUGUUUUACUGGAAAACUGUGUCCCCUCCACCACAGUAAAGUUUGGCACAAAUGGAGUCAGUUGCACAGGACUCUUUCAUCAACGUGGGAGUAGAUUUGAGGAGAUUUCAGGAGAUUAGCCACUGCAUUGACACACUCCAUACACCAUGCAACAGAUGCUCCAUGCCCAGGUGCGAGUUCUGUGUAAGUUUGCAGGUUCAUCAUCACAGGGCCAAUCAACAAGAACAGUGUGUUGCCUUCUUAAGUAAUGGUGUUUGUUCUGAAGGUUGUCAAAAUGAAUUUAAAUAUAUUUUCAACAAAUAAACUCUGGUCUGGUCCCAGAAGUGUUGCUCCUAACCUUCUCCUUGGGUUUAAACUGUCAGCGUCACCACUGAGCUUUCCCCUUCAACUCUCUUCAGUCCUUCCUGUUUUGUCUCCAUUCUUUAUUCCUCUCUCCUUAACUUAACACACUGAACAGGAAAUACAGAGCAAAAUGAAAUUUGUGACAAUGCUCCACUUUGAACAUGGACUUUUAAGCCAUGUGGUAAUGCAGACUUCCAGAGAAACACAGCUAUAUAGGUCAAUACACCUCUGAACUUGGGACCCCAGUGAUAAGCUUUGUGCAUAAAUUUGCUUUGUAUUAUUUGCUUUACUUCCAGCUGUCAUCUGUUGCUCCUCAGUCUCACGCUUCUUCUCUAGUAAUAUUCUCAUCCUUUAUUUCUAAUCUAUUUACAGUCUAUCAACUAAUAAAAUAAUAAUAAUCAUAAAAUAAUAAAUAAUACAAUGAUAAAUAAAAUAACAAAAUAAUAAAACCCAUUACAACUGUGCAUAACAACUGAUUUUGA